CGGUUGAUCCUGCCGGAGGCCACUGCUAUUGGGAUUCGAUUAAGCCAUGCGAGUCGAGAGGGUUCGGCCCUCGGCAGACUGCUCAGUAACACGUGGAUAACUUACCCUUAGGUGGAGGAUAAUCUCGGGAAACUGAGAAUAAUACUCCAUAGAUCUAGGCUGCUGGAAUGCAUCUAGAUCAAAAGCUCCGGCGCCUAAGGAUAGGUCUGCGGACUAUCAGGUUGUAGUCAGGGUAAAGACCUGACUAGCCUACGACGGAUAUGGGUUGUGAGAGCAAUAGCCCAGAGACGAUAUCUGAGACACGAUAUCGGGCCCUACGGGGCGCAGCAGGCGCGAAACCUUCACAAUGUGCGAAAGCGCGAUGAGGGGAUCCCAAGUGCUUGCACUUAAGUGUAAGCUGUUUCUUUGUUUAAAAUGCAGAGAGAGUAAGGGCUGGGUAAGACGGGUGCCAGCCGCCGCGGUAAUACCUGCAGCUCAAGUGGUGGCCGCUAUUAUUGGGCCUAAAACGUCCGUAGCCUGUUUAGUAAAUGCUUGGGUAAAUUGUGUAGCUUAACUAUACGAAUACCGGGUAGACUGCUAAACUUGGGACCGGGAGAGGCUAGAGGUACUCCUGGGGUAGAGGUGAAAUUCUGUAAUCCUGGGGGGACCACCAGUGGCGAAGGCGUCUAGCUAGAACGGGUCUGACGGUGAGGGACGAAACCCUGGGGCGCGAACCGGAUUAGAUACCCGGGUANUCAGGC
Molecule: ribosomal RNA, 740 nt
Filed under: uncultured archaeon
Lineage: Archaea
Description: bacterial SSU rRNA
Rfam family: Archaeal small subunit ribosomal RNA
Source: RNAcentral